RNAcentral lists this long non-coding RNA (1033 nucleotides) under Pandoravirus neocaledonia. RNAcentral's name for it is "hypothetical ncRNA". The record is from RNAcentral.
UUUUUCGAUCUCGCUCUCGGUGAUGUGUUGAGUCGCGAGGUAAGACGCCAACCUCUCGUAACGCGCAGCACGGUGCGCAUUCUUGGAGGCCGUGUCAGGGGCCGUGUCAACGCCGGCGUCGCCGUCAUCGUCAUCGCCUUUGGUCCACCACGGCGAAUCGCGCACCGAGGCGGCUUUGCGAUAGCACGCGGCCUCUUCCGUUUGGGCUUGGCGGCGAUGGGCGGCAAUUUCCGGUGUCUCGGUGCCGGUCAGUCGAUGCCACGCCCCGGCCAGGGUGGAGACACCGUGUGCCUCGCCCUCGCGUUGGCGUUGGCGCGCCUCGGUCGCGCACUGUAGAUAAACACGCGCGGCCCUUGCCACGUGCUCUCUCUUCAUGGCGACCGUCUCUCCAUAGGUCGGCCGUUUGUAUUUAGGCAUGGUCUCGGUCGACUGGGCUGGGGCCGGCCGGCUGCCGUCGCCACGGGCAUAAUCGCCCAAGGUUGGGGCAUCGGGUGUGGUCUUUGUCGCGUCGGUGCCGGCAGCACCCGCGUCUGUCGGUGGCGAUUGCGUGUGGUCCAUUGAGUCACGCGACACAGGUACGGCGAUCUCUCUCUCUCUCUCGCCUUGGGAUAUCGCUUUAACGCAAUGGUUUAAUGAAAACGAUAAAACAAGCACACACAGCAGCGUCAAUGUUGGUCGCGCUUGAAUCGUGGGCGGCCUUUUUCCAGGACGAUCGAAUGUGUUUGUUUGGUGUAGAGACUUUUGGCGUGCGCGGGAGCCGACCAACGAGACGAGGGCAAAAUCUUGGUGCGGCUUUUGGAGUCGGCGUGGUUGGUUGGCGGCCGAAAUACCGACCAUAAAAGGCAACUCCAUGUUUUUUGCGCGGCUGUGUGCAAAAAAGGGGAGAAAAAGGUCCGCCAGAAAUGGACCGCCUUUUCUUGUUUGGCCUUUGCCUUUUUUUUGGUCCGCCCGCUCUGCAUCCGAACCACACAUUUUCUCUGUUGAAGAAGACGAAAAAAGAAAAGAAAAGGCGUCGGCUACGGACGGCGCGCCC